Molecule: unclassified non-coding RNA, 626 nt
Filed under: Bombus terrestris (buff-tailed bumblebee)
Lineage: Eukaryota; Metazoa; Arthropoda; Insecta; Hymenoptera; Apidae
Description: misc RNA ENSBTSG00005033072.1
Source: RNAcentral
CAUUACGCGUUGUCGCGUUAAAUAUUCCAUAAAUGUAUAAAGAGGCGCUUUAUAUUUUCUCAUAUUAUGUGCAUCGCUGCAGCUUGCAACAAUCCACAAACACACAAAGAUCCGCAGUUUAUUUAUAAGACGAUAAAGUUAAAAACGGCUUACCAGAGUUAGGUCCAGGAAGUCUAGGAGAUCUUUGCUCGAUGCUGUGGUGGAAGGGAUUGAAGGCCGACGCACCAGCUGCCGGAGGAUGUGUAUGCGAAUGGUGACCGGGAGGCGGCGGAAGACAGUGCGGCGGAAGAGAGCCCCGAGAGUCAAUUUCGCAUCCAAUAAAAAAUCGAACGCCACGUUUAAAAGGAAUCAAUCUUGGCCCAGGAUGAAUAUAGAACGUGAGGAACGACCGCAAUAAAUAGCAACGAGACUGAAAAAGAAACGCACUCUGGAGGAGAUGUGGAAAUGUUAUAUAAUGUCAGGUGGAUAAACGAUCGCCGGAUGACAGAUAGAGGUACAGAAACGCUUCUCUUUGACGUAGCGAACGUUUGACGUGGAUGGACAGUUAAAUUUAUCCAACAGAGAAUAGAGAAACGAUCGAUCACCUUUCUUUUUUAUUUCAAUUCUAGCCGAUACCGGGCGACCAU